RNAcentral lists this ribosomal RNA (1338 nucleotides) under Triticum aestivum (bread wheat). RNAcentral's name for it is "partial small subunit ribosomal RNA". The record is from RNAcentral. Lineage: Eukaryota; Viridiplantae; Streptophyta; Magnoliopsida; Poales; Poaceae.
AUGGCCGCGGCCAUGAGACCCUCCUCCCCCCCCUACCCUCUCCCGCCUCCCCCGACCUGCUCGUCCCGCCUCCCCCAGCUCCGCUGCUUCGUCGGCCUCCGGUGUUCCGCCCCUCGCGUCCAGGUCAGGAGGCAAUUAGACGCGGUUGCAGGAAUUGGCAGUGGUGCGCGUGGAUGCGGUGGACGAUUCAGAGCGCCUGCUUCCAGUGCGUCCCAGCCUUGUUAUAGCUCCAUCGUCAUUAGAAACGACAAUUCUCAAAAUGCCGAUUUUCCACGUAACUACUCCAAAAGGGAGAAGAAACCAUUUCCUAUACCAGUACUGGAGUUAAGGCGCCGAGCGAGACAGAGGAUGAAGGAAGCUGAAGGGAAGCCUAGGGGGCCGCCGCCACCUCCGAAAAAUGGAUUGCUGGUCCAGAGACUAAUACCAGAGGCAUACAGAGUGUACAACGCAAGAAUUUCGCUGAUCAACAACUUGAAGAGGCUGAUGAAAGUAGUACCAGUGAAAGGCUGCAAAUAUUGCGGUGAGAUACACGUUGGAUCUGUUGGACACCCUUUCAGAACAUGCCGAGGAAUGUCUUCUGAUAAACGUAAGGGAGAACAUGACUGGGGAAGUACUUUUGUUGAAGCUGUUUUCUUGCCAGUUGAAGCUUACCACCUAGAGGACCGUCUAGGCCCGCGUAUCCCUCAUGACCAGAGGUUUGAGGUGCCCCGCAUUCCUGCUCUUGUGGAGCUUUGCAUCCAAGCUGGUCUCGACCUCCCUGAGUACCCCACAAAGCGCCGAAGAAAGCCAAUUGUUAAGAUCGGAAGGAAAGAGUUUGUCGACGCAAAUGAAGAUGACCUGCCUGACCCGGAGCCUGACAAAUUUAAGGAGCCAAUUCUCGAAGAAGUAUCCGACGAUGAGAUUACCCCUCCGUCGAGCCCAGAGGAGACGGCUGCUCUUGCCGAGGAAACACUCAAAGUGUGGGAGACACUCCGGAACGGUGCCUUGAGGCUCAUGAAGAGGUAUUCAGUGAGGGUGUGUGGAUACUGUCCUGAGGUGCACAUUGGAGCGAGUGGUCAUAAAGCGCGCAACUGUGGAGCCUUCAAGCACCAGCAGAGGAAUGGACAGCAUGGAUGGCAGGCGGCGGUGCUCGAUGACCUAAUACCCCCUAGAUACGUCUGGCACAUGCCGGAAUCUGGGGAGUUGCAGAAGGAGCUCAAGAUCUUCUAUGGGCAGGCGCCGGCUGUCGUUGAGAUAUGCAUUCAAGGCGGCGCACAAGUGCCGGAGAAGUACAAAGCCACAAUGAGGCUAGAUAUAGGGAUUCCCUCCAGUUUGAAAGAGGCUGAAAUGGUCGUCUGA